Molecule: transfer RNA, 74 nt
Filed under: Candidatus Omnitrophota bacterium
Lineage: Bacteria; Pseudomonadati; Candidatus Omnitrophota
Description: Candidatus Omnitrophica bacterium (sediment metagenome) tRNA-Arg
Rfam family: tRNA
About the family: Transfer RNA (tRNA) molecules are approximately 80 nucleotides in length. Their secondary structure includes four short double-helical elements and three loops (D, anti-codon, and T loops).
Source: RNAcentral
GCGCCUGUAGCUCAAUUGGAUAGAGCAUUAGACUUCGGAUCUAAGGGUUGGAGGUUCAAGUCCCCCCAGGCGCG